This 27-nucleotide non-coding RNA is filed under the name Bombyx mori (domestic silkworm). Lineage: Eukaryota; Metazoa; Arthropoda; Insecta; Lepidoptera; Bombycidae. The record is from RNAcentral.
UACCUUUACUGCCUGUUACCUGCCCAA